Molecule: unclassified non-coding RNA, 966 nt
Filed under: Hevea brasiliensis (rubber tree)
Lineage: Eukaryota; Viridiplantae; Streptophyta; Magnoliopsida; Malpighiales; Euphorbiaceae
Source: RNAcentral
CAACGCUCCGCUCCAUUAGUAGAGAGAAUGAUUAUCACAAACACUUCAAUGAAGAAUCAUUAAAUACCCUUCACCAACAAGCGUUGAAAAAAUUCACCAACCCUAUUUAUGAACCCCAAACUCUGUUCUGUCUGCUCUAUAGCCUCUUGCUAUGCUUUUCUCAUAUAGCUUUGUUCUGUCUGUCUGUGUUACUGUUAGGCCUUAGGAGUAGAUUUUCCUUUUCAUUUUAUGUUUUUCAAAUGGAUAUAUAGCUCAAGUGCUUCUUGACCUCUGUUAUUUCCUUUUGUUUUUGUUCGCUUUCACUGGCCUUCAUAGCCAGACAAGAUAUGCUCACAUUCCCUCUUAAAACUGCAAAACUUUCAUCAGUCCUCAAAUACCCAGUUCUUAUAUCUAUACUAGUUUCUUCUUUUUGGGCUUUCAGAUUCUAGUUGUGGUUUUUCCCGAGCAAUACAAAAGCACCUCAUGUUUGUUGUUGUGGCACUCUACUUGUCUGGGAGAGCCCUUAAGCCCAAAAUCAUUCUGCAUGCUAGUUUCAAUGGAGCUGCAGAGGCUUAAAGUAUUGUCUGAGAUGUACCCAGACGCAUGUACGAUAUAGAGGUGGUUGUGUUUUAAAUCAUUGGGGAGAGGGUUUUGCGGUGGGUUUGGUUUCCUGGUUCAAUUUUGCUUCUCUAUUCUCUGUGGGUUUCGGGCUUUGAUUCCAAAUGGAUUUUGGUUUCUUUGGUUCUAUCUUGGUUCUUUCAAUGUUCUUCAAGCCUUUAACUUGUCAACAGCCCAAUACAGAUGCUUUCUUUGUCUCUGAGUUUUUGAAGAAGAUGAACUUCACCUCUUCACCACUCUACAAUUUCUCUGCUCCUGUUUGUUUGUGGGAAGGAGUGUUCUGUGAUGCCAAAGAAAAUGUUUUGCGGUUAGUAGCUUCUGGUUAUGGUCUCUCUGGUUCCAUUCCUGAUACCACCAUUGGCAAGCUAA